This is a long non-coding RNA of Columba livia (rock pigeon), 2061 nucleotides long. RefSeq lists it as uncharacterized. The transcript has 3 exons. The record is from RefSeq and is a predicted model, not a curated record. NCBI's taxonomy places the organism in Eukaryota, Metazoa, Chordata, Aves, Columbiformes, Columbidae.
CUGGCGGGCACAGGAGCCCGCGGUGCCCGGGCCGCUCCGCCGCUCCCCGUGGGCCGUGUCCACGGGCGCUGCCGCAGCGUGUCCUGCCCGCGCGGAACGCGCUCGUGGGGCGGCGCGGCGCUAGCGAGUCCCGCGGGCCGGCGCCGCGGGUGUGAAAGCGGCUCGUGGCGUGGCAGCCGCUACCUCCGCGUGACUGGAGGUCCAGGGGCUCCAGAUUCUGGUGCAUCGAGCACUCGGGGGUGCGUCCUUAAGUGAUAAUUAGCACCUACACAAGAAAUCAAAUCCAUUUCACAGAGAUAAAUGAGUUUUCCCAUCACUUCUGUGACCCAGCCAGCCUGCCUUGUGUCAUUGCUUGAUGCUGGGGUGCAGAAACCCCCAUCUCCCCGCAGGGCUGAGCGGUGAGGAGUCCCAGGGCCGGUGUCUCCACUCAUUGGAACAGACAAAGCACCUCAGUUUUAGGCCAGGAAUAAAUUCUGGUGACACAAAUGCUGUCGUAACUGGGUGCCUCAGCACAUACCAAGGGAAAAUUAACCUCUGUGCCGCGCCGUUCAAUUUAGUGAGUCAAUGGGCACGUCUACCUGUGCCAUUAACCCUGUCAUUGGAAUAAAUCGCCACAAGUGAGGAUUUUCCUAUCCUUGCGUUCUCCAGUAAAUAGUGACUUCUCUGGCUCACGCAAGACUUGCCUCUAAAGCUGCAAAAUUGCCCACGUUACUGUUUUCGGAGAAAGAAGUACAUGCAAAAGUUUCUGCCAUGGCCCCGCUGAGCCGAGGCGGCCGAGGUGCUUCCCGGCGAGAUGGGCUUUGCACUGAAGUGAUCAACAGGCAGAGAGGGGACAUGGACGACACGCCAGCUGAGACAGCAAACACCCAGAAAGAAGAGAGAGCGGGGCGGAGUGCUCGCUGUCACCAGGACACCACGCUGCUGCUGCCCGGGUGGAACUUCGGCAAAUGACAGAAGCAGUAAAAUGAUUCAUUCUGUAGUACGCGGACACGUGUGUUGCUUUAGUUAAUCCCUUCUAGCUGAAUCUAUAGUUCUGAAUAGUGAGGAAGAUGCUGGAAAGAAGGAAUCUCUGUUCAUUUUUUGGAAAACUUACAAAUUACUGACACUGAAAUACUGUGAUGUUGUCCUGUGCUUUGUUCUCCCGGCAACUCCUUUCGGGCAAAUCAUUUAACCUCUUUUGAGUACUUCUCAAAACAUUGAAAAUUCCAGCAUUUUUAGUUCAUGUUGAUGAACUUUGGUGAUAUUUAUGCUUCAAUAAAUGCCACAAAAAUAAUACUGACAAGUAUUGGAAAAGUUCUCUUUCAAAGCGGUGGUGAAGGCCCGGUGGCUGCGACAGAGUUAACGGUCUGACUGGCCUGUGGUGGUCAGGGCGGACAAGGCGCAUCCCGCCCCCGGGCUGAGGUGCCUUCUCGCACCUUGGCGACACUUCUGUUAUUUGUUCCCAGUGUAACUGGCCCUCCGCAACCUUAUUAUAUUUAUAUAUAAUUAGAUUAAUUUCAGGAUGUGACACUUUUUGGCCAGGUUAGAAAGCGCGCUUAAUUAAAAAUGCUUUGAAAAGGAUUAAUUGACCCCAACUCUCUACUGUAUUUUCCGUAUUCAUUCAAAAUAGGAAACUCUAAGCAAAUUUCAUUAAAUUAAUGUGUGUUCCCUAAAAAAGUGUUCUUAAUGGACGUAAAAGCUACUUACAGUAUCCCAAGACCAGCUUAAAAACAUUGCAGAACCUCAUCGUGGUACAUCUGAAACUGAACAGGAAGUUUCAGUCCUUGUGAUACAUUUUUCUUUAAGAUCUUGAAGUAAUAAAAUGACUUUUCAUAGUGUAACGCAGGAUGUUUCACUGCGUGAUGCUGACAGCGCUCCAGAAUUCGUUACUGAUGUGUAUUUGUGCACUUCAUUCUUCAUUUUCCAUGAACCUGCUCCUCGUGGAGUAAUUUACAUAUGUGCAAAAUGAGUGUUAAAUAGUCAAAUCAGAAUUGUGGCCUUUCUCACUGAGGUUUUACAAGUGCUAACGGUGGAACGGGGUGCAGGGCACGGGGAGAAUGUAGCCUUCAGGCAUGAACCUGA